This 327-nucleotide ribosomal RNA is filed under the name uncultured Streptococcus sp. Its description in RNAcentral is "bacterial SSU rRNA". It matches the Rfam family "Bacterial small subunit ribosomal RNA", at positions 1054 to 1382 of the family's 1533-position model. The record is from RNAcentral. Lineage: Bacteria; Bacillati; Bacillota; Bacilli; Lactobacillales; Streptococcaceae.
GUCAGCUCGUGUCGUGAGAUGUUGGGUUAAGUCCCGCAACGAGCGCAACCCCUAUUGUUAGUUGCCAUCAUUCAGUUGGGCACUCUAGCGAGACUGCCGGUAAUAAACCGGAGGAAGGUGGGGAUGACGUCAAAUCAUCAUGCCCCUUAUGACCUGGGCUACACACGUGCUACAAUGGUUGGUACAACGAGUUGCGAGUCGGUGACGGCGAGCUAAUCUCUUAAAGCCAAUCUCAGUUCGGAUUGUAGGCUGCAACUCGCCUACAUGAAGUCGGAAUCGCUAGUAAUCGCGGAUCAGCACGCCGCGGUGAAUACGUUCCCGGGCCCU